UGCUCAGGUGGCGAAAUUGGCAGACGCACAGGACUUAAAAUCCUGAGGGACCUAAUAAUCCCGUGCCGGUUCAAGUCCGGCCCUGAGCAU
This 90-nucleotide transfer RNA is filed under the name Candidatus Omnitrophica bacterium ADurb.Bin292. RNAcentral describes it as "tRNA-Leu". It matches the Rfam family "tRNA". Rfam says of the family: Transfer RNA (tRNA) molecules are approximately 80 nucleotides in length. Their secondary structure includes four short double-helical elements and three loops (D, anti-codon, and T loops). The record is from RNAcentral. Lineage: Bacteria; Pseudomonadati; Candidatus Omnitrophota.